CGGGGUGAAGAAGGCCUUAUGGUUGUAAGCACUUAGCGAGAGGAGCUAUUAGUAUACCUAAGAUAGUGGAACGUUACUCGCAAAUAAGCACCGGCUAACUCUGUGCCAGCAGCCGCGGUAAUACAGAGGGUGCAAGCGUAAUCGGAUUUACUGGGCGUAAAGCGCGCGUAGCGGUAAUUAAGUCAAAUGUGAAAUCCCCGAGCUUAACUUGGGAAUUGCAUUCGAUACUGGUUAGCUAGAGUGUGGGAAGGAUGGUAAAUCCAGGUGUAGCGGUGAAAUGCGUAGAGAUCUGGAGGAAUACCGAUGGCGAAGGCAGCCAUCUGGCCUAACACUGACGCUGAGGUGCGAAAGCAUGGGGAGCAAACAGGAUUAGAUACCCUGGUAGUCCAUGCCGUAAACGAUGUCUACUAGCCGUUGGGGCCUUUGAGGCUUUAGUGGCGCAGCUAACGCGAUAAGUAGAACGGCUGGGGAGUACGGUCGCAAGACUUAAACUUCAAAUGAAUUGACGGGGGGC
RNAcentral lists this ribosomal RNA (514 nucleotides) under uncultured bacterium. RNAcentral describes it as "bacterial SSU rRNA". It matches the Rfam family "Bacterial small subunit ribosomal RNA", at positions 400 to 921 of the family's 1533-position model. The record is from RNAcentral.